GAGAGCCGGAUGCGAUGAAAGUCGCAAGUCCGGUUCGGAGGGGGGCAGUUGGAAAAGUGCCCAACCGGGACGGUUGGGGAACUCGCUGGCUGCCUACCCUAC
This 102-nucleotide non-coding RNA is filed under the name Anatilimnocola aggregata. Lineage: Bacteria; Pseudomonadati; Planctomycetota; Planctomycetia; Pirellulales; Pirellulaceae. The record is from RNAcentral.